UACGUAGGGUGCAAGCGUUAUCCGGAAUUAUUGGGCGUAAAGAGCUCGUAGGCGGUUUGUCGCGUCUGCUGUGAAAACCCGAGGCUCAACCUCGGGCCUGCAGUGGGUACGGGCAGACUAGAGUGCGGUAGGGGAGAUUGGAAUUCCUGGUGUAGCGGUGGAAUGCGUAGAUAUCUGGAGGAACACCGGUGGCGAAGGCGGCAUCCUGGACCAAUACUGACGCUGAGGAGCGAAAGCCAGGGGAGCAAACGGG
This 253-nucleotide ribosomal RNA is filed under the name uncultured bacterium. RNAcentral's name for it is "partial 16S ribosomal RNA". It matches the Rfam family "Bacterial small subunit ribosomal RNA", at positions 524 to 776 of the family's 1533-position model. The record is from RNAcentral.